UCACAAAGUGGAGUAGAAAUAUCCCCCAAACAGGAAGAAAAAAUAUUAUCAGAAAUGCUCAUUCACCGUGUGAAAGAAUUCUUAGACCCGAUACAACCUGGUAUUGCCGAGAAAGCUAUGGAAUCCCCUAAGGCUAAAACAAUGUUAGCUGAAUUGAUUCAAAAGCUUAGAAUCAAGAGAAAUGAGAGUGCAAAUAUGGGAAGGAAAAGAAAAUAGUCAAGGGAUGAUGAGACAUUUCCCCUUUGACAUGCACUCUAAUCUCAUUGAAGGAUGCACCUGCAUUCUGCAAAUAUAUCUAAAAGUUACAAAAUUUUCUUGGAAUAAAAAUAAAACCAUUUGUAAGUUAGGAAUUCAAUAAACAUCAAGAAUUGGAAAUUUAAUUGAUAUUGUAUUAAAAAUUGAAUGUGAUGGUCCUUUCAUAAAUAUUACUCUAUGUCCUUGUAGGUAUUCCAUUUAAUUAAGAGACACUUUAGGACUUUCACUAAGGCAUUCAGUCCAUCAGAAAACAUCGAUUCCUCUAUGAAAUAUCAAAGAUACAUUGAAAAAAAUGACAAAAGAAAACUCUUAUAGUUUUGUUUAAUGGUACUAUAGGAUCGAUCACAAAUUCUUGGCCCCGUUUGUUUUUGGAAGUUCGAUACUUCUAGAGCAAUACAAAUUUCUUUUAUUUUAUGAGAAACUUCACUCUGCAUAUUAGCAAACAAUUUUAGUUCUAAUAUGGACAAUAUAUGACUAAUUUUACGAUUUGAUUAUGCAACUAAUGGAUACCAAAUGCAAUGUGCGGUUGUGGAUGAAAAGAAGUGUUGGCGGUGAAAAGAAUUGAUUAUAUGACAUGCUGACCGUCAGCUUGCGAGCAUCGCAAUAUGAAAAAAAAAAUAUAAGAAGGGAAGUGUGAUUGGUCUAGUUAUAACAAUUGUGUUGCAAUGGAAAAAAGUGUUCUAAAGAUCGAACACAAACGAGAUCAAGCAAGUGAGUUCCUAUGAAUAAAAUAACAUGCUAGUGAAAGUCUACUGAACUACUAUAGAAACCAAUUAUUACGAUAUUAAAAAAAGAUGAUUUUUUACGACAUUCUAGAAAAAUAAACAUGCAAUUAUCCAGUUAAUGAAAAUAUCAAUUCGGCAACUAUAGUGAUUGGUCAAUUUCCAUGCCAGCAGUGAAUUUGUGCUUAGAGAAAUUCAACCACCGACUUAUUUAACCAAACCUCACCUAUCGAUCUCAAGUUAAUUAAAAAAACACAUAAGGUAUCUCUAUGUACAGCUGCAUGGGAACACUCAAAUCAAGCUUUAGUUCCCUAACGUUUUGCCCAAAUGCAUAUUGAAUCCAUCCUUUAACCCGAAAUGGAUCGAAUACUUGCCUACAUUUAAGACAAAACAUAGUAACAUUGCUUUUGGUAAAUGCGUAAAGUACUUUUUUAUAAACAAUAUAUGUUUUACUUUGGUUAUUGAAUACAACAAGCUGAAAUAAAAACAAUUCAUAUCCAACCUUGAUUCCAAACAAGUUUGCUCGAUAUUGGACAAGUCUUUUUACAAGUAUAUAUUUGUUUCCUUUAUCUUUAAGUAUUCACAAAUUUAUAUAUUGUAACCUUUCAUGUUUGAAACUUUGUAGAAGCUAGACUAUUAUUUUGAAAAAGAUUAUAUAAUACAAUACUCCUUUAUACUAAACACAUGGCCUUUAACCUUUUAGAUAUAUAAAGAGUUCAAUAUAAUUUUAUUUAAUUUUCAACUAUCUUAUUUUAAUGUUGAACAAUAUGUCACAUCCUAAAAACUGGAUUAAAAGAAAUUGAGUUGGUGGAAUUAAGAGCGGUCACGAUUUGAUUUUGAGUUAAGAUUGUGAAAAUUUUUAUUAAGUAAAUUGAUCUGAUUUAGUGGUUAAGUGUGUUGUUUGUGUGUGAGAGCUUCUGGGUUUGAAUCAUGUUUCUUGAAUUUUUUGUUAUUUUAGCCCUAAUUCCUAUUUUGAGUAUCUAACUUAAAUUUAAUUCUUGCUCAAGUUUUUGAAAAGAAUGAACAUGCUGGUUCAGUGGUAAAGCCUCAAUUUACCCUUUGGUCUUGUGUUUGAACUUUGCGCCUGCAAGUAGGAUUAUUUUUGCUAAUUUUUCUUGAGUGUCGUCCAUCUUGUGGAAUUUGGGUUUUAAUAGAACUCUAGAAAAUCUGUUAGAUGAGGAUUAGAUUAGUGGGGUUAAAUGUUAGUUUGGAUGCGAUUUUUUAUUUUAUUUAAAAAAAUAAAAAAAAUAUUUCCCCAAAUUUGCUUCCCCAUUAUUCACAUAUUCCACGUUUCUUCCAAUUCUUCUCAUUUGUUUGUUUCACGUUGGCUUCUAGUAAAGAAAGAGAAUUUCUCAAACUUUCUUCUUUCUUCAUCUUUCAUCUCUAAAUUUUCGUUGCUUUCUUGUUUAUUGAUUCUUAUGUCAUUCAAUUUCGGAGGAGGGUUGACAAGGAAUGAGAUGGAUGAAUGCGGAAACAGAUUGUAAAGUUUUUCAAAGUCACGAAUGUAUCCUAAAUCUCUAGAAAAAAUUAAACUAAAAUGAGAAACAAUGAAAACAUAUUAGUUGUCACAAAGGAGAGUCAAACGAAAUUACAACAAAAGAAAGAUGAACCAGUUGGUAAAGAGUCCCACUUUAGAUUUGUACAAAACAUAAAUGAAAUUUGAUUAAAACUAGCAUCUAGAAACCCUUGUAGGGUUUGUCCAAAAUAAGUAUUAAUAGUGGCCAAUCAGUCCCACUUUUUGGGACCUCUACUUACUCUAUUUCAAUAUAUAACAAAGAUACGAACGAGCUCCAAUGUGACUAUUGAUUGAUUUUUGGUAAUUAGGUGUAACAGAUUAAACUAGUUUUCGCACUUUAGAAGCUUGAAAUUAAGUAUUUUCAUUAGGAUUUAAUUAUGUUUUAGUAAUUUUUGUUAAAUCCAAUAAAAUGUGCAAAUUGAGUAUUCUAUUGACCUUAGGUCCGAAUGAGGCCUAAGGGUGAGCUAAAAAACUUUAUAAGUGUGCAGGAGACCAUUAAAAGGCAUAUUAAACGGAUACUGGUCGCUAUGUCUCAACACAAAAUACACAAUGUCACAACAUAGAGAGUAGAAUGGAGAAAUUACAAAAUUUCCUUUGAUGUCUCAACACAGCCUAAUGGUGUAGCGACAUACCCCUGAAGAUAUCCCAAGAGGAGCAUACUGACUCCUAUGUUGCAACACAGGUCCUAGUGUGUCGCGACUUCAACUCUGGACAACAAUUAACACGAGUUAGGUGGCAUUUUGGUCCAUACAAUCAAACUUAAAGCUCAAAAGCGUCAGCGAAACCUAGGGUUCAAGACGACGACCACCUGAAAUUUAUAAAUAGGCUCAUUUGUCACAUGUAAAAGACACUAAUGCCUUAGUUUAGAAUUUUAUUUUAAACUUUAGUUUAGUUUUCUUUAUUUGAGGUUUUAGAUUUAUUUUCAAGUUGUUCAGGUUUAUCUCAAGAGAUCUAAUUUGUGGAGACGAUCAAACUCUAUGAUUCGAUUUAUUCUAAAUACAAAUAAGAUGUUUUCUUAAACUCUACAUUCUAUUUCAUUUAUCAUGUUUUCUAUUUGCAUCAGUUCCAUAUUGUUUAUGAAAACCACAAGGAACUAAUCCUUCUAUGGGGGAUUAACGAGUAGAGGUAUGAUCUUAACUAUUUUGUACGACUACUCAAUGGAUUAGCUGUUUGGGAAAGGAAUAACUUAAAUCCCUAACAACCCUAGGAAGUAAUCAAUGUGGGAAUUAACCCAAUAUUAGUAUGGUCUAUCUUGUUAGGUUAUGAGGUUAAAAGAUAAGUAGUUCUUACUGACUUGUUAUUUGAGUGGAAGAUUGAAAUAUCCUAUUGGGAUGGCGACUAGUUGAUUGACAAGGAGCCCGAAAUGAUAGUUAAUGGGGAUUACAAAAAUGAUCUAAUCACCUAUAAUCAAGAUUUGAUUUAUUCUACUCUUUGAUUUCUUGAAUUUUAUUUUCUUGUGUUAUUUUACUUUACUAUUAUAAAAAUUUUAAAAACUCUCUUUUAUUUUACCAUCGUACUAUAACUAAAUUUAAGUACUAAUUAGACUUUUUAGUGUUUAUGUUAAAUUGAUCUAGCACUCGUCUCUCUUAGGUACAAUCCUCGGAGUAGUCACCUAUUCCGUUGUAACUAUAUUACAACUAGACCCGUAUACUUGCAGAUAUCGCCUCAUAUAUCUAUAUAUUUUACUGUAGUAUUCAUAAUCUGAAGUUAGUACGUUUGGAGGCAGUCACUGAUCUGAGACAUUUAGAUUCAGUUCUUCAACAUUUAAAACACACGAAAGUUAGUAUGUAAAAUUUGGCCAAGGCACAAGCACAUUCUACCACAGCAAAAUAAAAAUAAACGAAGAAGAUGAUGUAGAUCUCGUUAAAAAUCAACACUUACACUUUACCCGUUUUAGAUAUGUGAUGAAUAGUGAUCAUAGAAUCAAAAAGAACAUUAACAAUAGCCUAGGAGGAAUCGAUCAAAAGGGGUAAAAAUCAGCAACCAAAAAUGAUGAAAAAGAUGGAAGGACAAGGGCUUAGUGAGGCAACAAUGUAAGAAAAACGGAAGCAACAAAUGGCUUUAACGUACGACAAUGGGAGGAGAAAAAUUGGUGCAAUGUGUAGCAAAGAAGAGCAAAAAAAAUAAUGAACAAAAGAGUGAAAGAAAGGUGGGCAAUAAAGCAAAACAGCGCCACCAAUGGAGGAGUAGAGGGGCGACACAACAAUGGUGAUAAAACUAAGUUAUGGGGUGGCGCACGGUUGAAGAAAAGAAAAGAAAAUUAAGAGAGUAGAGAUAAAAAGAGAGAGUGGGACAACAAGGGAUAAAAACAAAUGAGAAAAACUAAGUGAAAAGAGAGAGAAUAGCAUUUAUACCUAGGGUUUCUAAGUAGGGGCGGCACAAAAAAGGAUGAGAAAAAAAUAGAUAAAAUUAAACAUUAUGCAAGGGUAGGGAAUUGAACUUGAGUCUCAAGAACAAAUUCUCUAUAUCUUAAUUAUCUCUUAACCAUCAAGCCAAUAACACUCUUUAAAAUAAUUUUGCAACCGUAACAAUAAGAAUAGGGGAUUUGACAAAAACAAAUUCUCAUUUAUUGAGAAAAAUACAUCAUUUGAAUAAUGUUGCAAGAGUUUAUCUCUAUCUAACUCGUGUAGGGCAAUUUUGGACAAGACCAGUCAAAGAUCCGUCAAAGUUGCCGCAAAUACCUUAUCAUCAUCUAUUUAAAUUUCAACCCAUUUCUAUCCCUUGAGAAUUAGAAGCGAAAAAUUCAAAUCUAUUUUACCUUACUUUUUGAAAAAAAAAUGAACAUUUCUUUAGUAGUAUUCUCAUUGGCCUUGGUGCUCUCAAUCUCUGUAGGAGAUGCCGCCGACAUAAAACUUACUCCAGAGCAAGAAAAAAAGAUUGGUGAUGAGCUUGAAGAUGCAUUUCUAAUCGGUGUGGCCAAGGGAUUAUCACAAAGUGGAGUAGAAAUAUCCCCCAAACAGGAAGAAAAAAUAUUAUCAGAAAUGCUCAUUCACCGUGUGAAAGAAUUCUUAGACCCGAUACAACCUGGUAUUGCCGAGAAAGCUAUGGAAUCCCCUAAGGCUAAAACAAUGUUAGCUGAAUUGAUUCAAAAGCUUAGAAUCAAGAGAAAUGAGAGUGCAAAUAUGGGAAGGAAAAGAAAAUAGUCAAGGGAUGAUGAGACAUUUCCCCUUUGACAUGCACUCUAAUCUCAUUGAAGGAUGCACCUGCAUUCUGCAAAUAUAUCUAAAAGUUACAAAAUUUUCUUGGAAUAAAAAUAAAACCAUUUGUAAGUUAGGAAUUCAAUAAACAUCAAGAAUUGGAAAUUUAAUUGAUAUUGUAUUAAAAAUUGAAUGUGAUGGUCCUUUCAUAAAUAUUACUCUAUGUCCUUGUAGGUAUUCCAUUUAAU
Molecule: long non-coding RNA, 5878 nt
Filed under: Gossypium barbadense (sea-island cotton)
Lineage: Eukaryota; Viridiplantae; Streptophyta; Magnoliopsida; Malvales; Malvaceae
Description: long non-coding RNA (GBAR_LNC004458)
Source: RNAcentral